This 76-nucleotide transfer RNA is filed under the name Alkaliphilus sp. B6464. Its description in RNAcentral is "tRNA-Trp". It matches the Rfam family "tRNA". From Rfam's summary of the family: Transfer RNA (tRNA) molecules are approximately 80 nucleotides in length. Their secondary structure includes four short double-helical elements and three loops (D, anti-codon, and T loops). Lineage: Bacteria; Bacillati; Bacillota; Clostridia; Peptostreptococcales; Natronincolaceae. The record is from RNAcentral.
AGGGGUGUAGUUCAGUUGGAAGAACAGUGGUCUCCAAAACCAUAUGUCAGGGGUUCGAUUCCCUUCACUCCUGCCA